CCCUUAGAUGUCCGGGGCCGCACGCGCGCUACACUGAAGGAAUCAGCGUGGCUUUCUCCCUGACCCGAAAGGGUUGGGAAACCCGUUGAAUCUCCUUCGUGAUAGGGAUUGGGGCUUGAAAUUGUUCCCCAUGAACGAGGAAUUCCUAGUAAGCACAAGUCAUCAGCUUGUGUUGAUUACGUCCCUGCCCUUUGUACACACCGCCCGUCGCUCCUACCGAUUGAAUGUUCCGGUGAGCUCUUCGGACUGCGCGGUCUGCAGUUUCUGCGUUCCGUGCGGAAAGUUGCGCAAACCUUAACAUUUAGAGGAAGGAGAAGUCGUAACA
RNAcentral lists this ribosomal RNA (325 nucleotides) under uncultured eukaryote. RNAcentral's name for it is "partial 18S ribosomal RNA". It matches the Rfam family "Eukaryotic small subunit ribosomal RNA", at positions 1470 to 1796 of the family's 1831-position model. The record is from RNAcentral.